GGCAGACAGAGACUGGAUGGUGACCAGAGAGCCAGGAGACCCCAGCCCAGCCCGAUGACCCGGGCCUGGGGCUGCCUCUCUGCUCCUGAGGGGCUAGUUAGUUAGAGGGGUCUGGGAAGACUUGGCCCCAGGGGUCCCGCACAGAUUCCGUCUGGGAGGGAGGAGACUGAACUAAAGGGCCCUGGCCAUGUGGGGAGCCACAGACCCCCUAGCCCUUCAGGGGCUUGUCUUAAUGGAAGGAGCUCACCUGCUCCGGCCAGACGGACCCCAGGCCACAGGAGGUUGGCACUGUCCUGAGAGGCCUGCAGCCUGGAACCUUCCCUGCUUUCCCCAGGGACUGAGGUUGUGGGGGGGGCCUGCCAGAGUCCUGCCCAGAGCUGAGGCCUGGCCUCCUCCCAUAGGAGCCUGAGGAUGGGGAGACACAGAACAGGUGGCCAUCAGCCCCUCCCUCAGAUUCUAAACACAGCCCAGCUUCCCAUCACCCCUGACGUGGGCAGCACCUGGAGGGACAGUGGGACCCGGACUGGCAGGUGAGCCGUACAUACGUACAUACGGAUGGAACGAAUUGACGAUGCAAACCCCGGCCCGGGAAGGAGGGCCGGCGCUCAAUGAACUCCUCCUUGAACUCUUCCUCUCCCUUGAAGCCCCUCAGUUUGGUGACACAGAUUUUACUGUAAUUAAUAAUAAUGUCACCUUUCACCGUGAAAGUGAAAGUUGUGUCCGACUCUUUGGGACUCUACACAGUCCACGGAAUUCUCCAUAACUGGAGGGUUCCAGGGACGGGGGAGCCUGGUGGGCUGCCGUCUAUGGGGUCGCACAGAGUCGGACACGACUGAAGCGACUUAGCAGCAGCAGCAGCAGCAGCAGUGAUCAGCAAAUAUUCCCUUGGAAAAAACUCCUAAAAGAAGACUCUCAGGCUGGGUGUCCUCCAACCACAGGAUCCAGAGGAGGAAAGCGAGGCUCAGAGGUCCCGAGAGUUGCAGAUCCAGAAUCUAACAUGAAGGCUGACCUCUGGGAGGACCGUGCUUACUGCUUCCCGUGUACGACUUCAUCAAACAUGAGAACCAGGAAACUGGGAGAUGGCGAAGGACAGGGAGCCUGGUGUGCUGCAGUUCAUGGGGUUGCAACGAGUCAGACACAACUUAGCCACUGAACAACAACAACAACAGAUCCCAUGUCAUAGACGAAAGGUCCAGAGGCGUCCAGUCACGUGCCCAGGUCCCACCGCUCCUUGGUGCCAGGAUCAACAACCAGACAUCUCAGCCAAAAGGUGGGAGCAACCCAAGUGACCGUAGAUGGUUGAAUGGAUAAACAAAACAUGAUCUAUCCAUACAAGAGACUCUUAGUCCACGGGGGACUCUUAAAGAGGAAGGAAGUUCUGACACGCAUGACGAUAAGGCUAACCUUGAAGACAUUAUGAUCAGUCACAAAAGGACACAAGCCAGUCACAAAAGGACAAAUAUUGCAGGAUUGCACUUCAUAGAGGGUAUUCAGAAUAGUCAAAUCCACGGGGACAGAAAGGAGCGUGGAGGUUGCCAGGACAGAAAGGGCUGGUGGGGAGGGAGAAUGCGCAGUUAGUGUGGGUGGGGGGAGUUCCAGCGGGGCGUGUUGAAGGGUUCUGGAGAUGAAUGGGGGUGCGG
Molecule: long non-coding RNA, 1640 nt
Organism: Bos taurus (domestic cattle)
Lineage: Eukaryota; Metazoa; Chordata; Mammalia; Artiodactyla; Bovidae
Source: Ensembl